Molecule: ribosomal RNA, 463 nt
Filed under: uncultured bacterium
Lineage: Bacteria
Description: partial 16S ribosomal RNA
Rfam family: Bacterial small subunit ribosomal RNA
Source: RNAcentral
AGUGAACGCUGGCGGCGUGCCUAAUACAUGCAAGUCGAACGAUGAAGUCCUAGCUUGCUCGGAUGGAUUAGUGGCGCACGGGUGAGUAAUAUAUAGUUAAUCUGCCCUACACAGAGGAACAACAGUUGGAAACGACUGCUAAUACCUCAUACUCCUAUUUGACAUAAGUUAAAUAGGGAAAGUCUUUUCGGUGUAGGAUGAGACUAUAUCGUAUCAGCUAGUUGGUAAGGUAAUGGCUUACCAAGGCUAUGACGCGUAACUGGUCUGAGAGGAUGAUCAGUCACAUUGGAACUGAGACACGGUCCAAACUCCUACGGGAGGCAGCAGUAAGGAAGAUUGCGCAAUGGGGGAAACCCUGACGCAGCAACGCCGCGUGGAGGAUGACACUUUUCGGAGCGUAAACUCCUUUUAUCAGGAAAGAAUAAUGACGGUACCUGAUGAAUAAGCACCGGCUAACUCCGUG